This is a long non-coding RNA of Cyanistes caeruleus (blue tit), 545 nucleotides long. RefSeq lists it as uncharacterized. The record is from RefSeq and is a predicted model, not a curated record. NCBI's taxonomy places the organism in Eukaryota, Metazoa, Chordata, Aves, Passeriformes, Paridae.
CAUGGCCACAGGUGGAGCAUUUAGUGUGGCUGCCAUUCUUUGCUCAGUCUAUACACAGGAAAGACAGGGUGACCUCAAGGCUACAAGCAGUAGUCCAGCUCUCUGGGCUUAAUGACCUUGGUGGUCUGCUGGGUAUUAUCACAUACACUUUCCUUUCACACAGCUGUGACUCCACUUAGCCGGAACUGCACUCACAGUGAAAAUGAGGAAACAGACUUUCCCAUUAGCAAACAACACUUCCAUGAGCAACCCUUUCUGAGAGGCUGCUUAAAGAAGAUGCUAUGACUCCUUCUAUCCCUUCUGUACAAUACACCAUGUGGAUGUUCAUUGCUGCCUAUGGUAAAAAUCCCAGCCUUCACUCCAAGCAAUUUUACCUUUUGGUCCUCAGCUCCCUACUUCUUGGAGGCACUACUGUGCCAAGGUACCACAGAAGUCCUUGGACAUCAGAGUACCUGAUGAUGAUUGUGACUCUACAGUCCAAUGCUGCUGAACACCCAGAGCCUACCUAAUGCUGUAUGUCUCUGUAUAAAACACAUAAACAUUCA